This 71-nucleotide transfer RNA is filed under the name Marmota monax (woodchuck). Its description in RNAcentral is "tRNA.Ala". Lineage: Eukaryota; Metazoa; Chordata; Mammalia; Rodentia; Sciuridae. The record is from RNAcentral.
UGGGGAUAUGGCUCAGUGGUGGAGCACUUGCUUAGCAUUCUUGAGGCCCUGGGUUCCAUCCCCAGUACUAA